GACGAACGCUGGCGGCGUGCCUAAUACAUGCAAGUCGAGCGAAGUUUUUCUGGUACUUGCACUAGAAAAACUUAGCGGCGAACGGGUGAGUAACACGUAAAGAACCUGCCUCAUAGACUGGGACAACUAUUGGAAACGAUAGCUAAUACCGGAUAACAGUAUUUCUCGCAUGAGAGAUAUUUAAAAGUUGGUUAUGCUAACACUAUGAGAUGGCUUUGCGGUGCAUUAGCUAGUUGGUGGGGUAAAGGCCCACCAAGGCGACGAUGCAUAGCCGACCUGAGAGGGUGAUCGGCCACACUGGGACUGAGACACGGCCCAGACUCCUACGGGAGGCAGCAGUAGGGAAUCUUCCGCAAUGGGCGAAAGCCUGACGGAGCAACGCCGCGUGAGUGAAGAAGGAUUUCGGUUCGUAAAGCUCUGUUGUUAGGGAAGAAUGGAUAUGUAGUAACUAUACAUGUAAGAGACGGUACCUAACCAGAAAGCCACGGCUAA
Molecule: ribosomal RNA, 492 nt
Filed under: Gemella morbillorum
Lineage: Bacteria; Bacillati; Bacillota; Bacilli; Caryophanales; Gemellaceae
Description: bacterial SSU rRNA
Rfam family: Bacterial small subunit ribosomal RNA
Source: RNAcentral